UGACCUUCUGGCGCAUGCCAUGUUGGUGGAAAGCUUUAUUGCGGUUUUGGAUGGACUCGCGGCCUAUCAGCUUGUUGGUGGGGUAAUGGCCUACCAAGGCGACGACGGGUAGCCGGCCUGAGAGGGUGGACGGCCACACUGGGACUGAGACACGGCCCAGACUCCUACGGGAGGCAGCAGUGGGGAAUAUUGCACAAUGGGCGCAAGCCUGAUGCAGCGACGCCGCGUGGGGGAUGAAGGCCUUCGGGUUGUAAACCUCUUUCAGUAGGGAAGAAGCGAAAGUGACGGUACCUGCAGAAGAAGCGCCGGCUAACUACGUGCCAGCAGCCGCGGUAAUACGUAGGGCGCAAGCGUUAUCCGGAAUUAUUGGGCGUAAAGAGCUCGUAGGCGGUUUGUCGCUCUGCCGUGAAAGUCCGGGGCUUAACUCCGGAUCUGCGGUGGGUACGGGCAGACUAGAGUGAUGUAGGGGAGACUGGAAUUCCUGGUGUAGCGCUGAAAUGCGCAGAUAUCAGGAAGAACACCGAUGGCGAACGG
This 534-nucleotide ribosomal RNA is filed under the name Arthrobacter sp. CAL612. RNAcentral describes it as "bacterial SSU rRNA". It matches the Rfam family "Bacterial small subunit ribosomal RNA", at positions 173 to 721 of the family's 1533-position model. The record is from RNAcentral. Lineage: Bacteria; Bacillati; Actinomycetota; Actinomycetes; Micrococcales; Micrococcaceae.